UGGGUGGAGUUAAAGUGGCAUAUUUUAUAGCUUUCCUUUGAUCUGUGUCUCUAUCGCUCCAAUAUCAAUUUUAUAAGCGAACGGCAUCCUGUUUAAUUACUUAUAUUAAGACAGACGACUUGUGUUCGUGCACAACU
Small nucleolar RNA from Drosophila melanogaster (fruit fly), 137 nucleotides. The record is from Ensembl. NCBI's taxonomy places the organism in Eukaryota, Metazoa, Arthropoda, Insecta, Diptera, Drosophilidae.